RNAcentral lists this ribosomal RNA (280 nucleotides) under uncultured Alistipes sp. RNAcentral describes it as "partial 16S ribosomal RNA". It matches the Rfam family "Bacterial small subunit ribosomal RNA", at positions 62 to 339 of the family's 1533-position model. Lineage: Bacteria; Pseudomonadati; Bacteroidota; Bacteroidia; Bacteroidales; Rikenellaceae. The record is from RNAcentral.
UCGAGGGGCAGCACGGUGUAGCAAUACACUGGUGGCGACCGGCGCACGGGUGCGUAACGCGUAUGCAACCUGCCCGAUACCGGGGUAUAGCCCAUGGAAACGUGGAUUAACACCCCAUAAUAUUCGGAGAGACAUCUCUCCGGGUUGAAAACUCCGGUGGUUAUAGAUGGACAUGCGUUGUAUUAGCUAGUUGGUGAGGUAACGGCUCACCAAGGCAACGAUACAUAGGGGGACUGAGAGGUUAACCCCCACACUGGUACUGAGACACGGACCAGACUCC